GUGCUCGCUUCGGCAGCACAUACCCUAAAAUCGGAACGAUGCAGAGAUUAGCGUGGAUGACACGUAGAUGCGUGAGGCGUUCCGUAAUUUG
Molecule: small nuclear RNA, 91 nt
Filed under: Chinchilla lanigera (long-tailed chinchilla)
Lineage: Eukaryota; Metazoa; Chordata; Mammalia; Rodentia; Chinchillidae
Source: RNAcentral